This 1396-nucleotide ribosomal RNA is filed under the name human gut metagenome. Its description in RNAcentral is "bacterial LSU rRNA". It matches the Rfam family "Bacterial large subunit ribosomal RNA", at positions 591 to 1979 of the family's 2925-position model. The record is from RNAcentral.
GGGUGAUGGCGUGCCUUUUGUAGAAUGAACCGGCGAGUUACGUUUACGUGCAAGGUUAAGGUGAAAAGCCGCAGCCGCAGCGAAAGCGAGUCUGAAUAGGGCGAAUGAGUACGUAGGCGUAGACCCGAAACCGUGUGAUCUACCCCUGUCCAGGGUGAAGGUGCGGUAACACGCACUGGAGGCCCGAACCCACGAAUGUUGAAAAAUUCGGGGAUGAGGUGGGGGUAGCGGAGAAAUUCCAAUCGAACUCGGAGAUAGCUGGUUCUCCCCGAAAUAGCUUUAGGGCUAGCCUCGGAGGAAGAGUCGUGGAGGUAGAGCACUGAUUGGGUGCGGGGCCCGCCAAGGGUUACCAAGCUCAGUCAAACUCCGAAUGCCAUGGACUUAUUAUCCGGGAGUCAGACAAUGGGUGCUAAGGUCCGUUGUCAAGAGGGAAACAGCCCAGACCAUCAGCUAAGGCCCCUAAGUGUACGUUAAGUGGGAAAGGAUGUGGAGUUGCCCAGACAACCAGGAUGUUGGCUUAGAAGCAGCCAUCAUUUAAAGAGUGCGUAAUAGCUCACUGGUCGAGUGACUCUGCGCCGAAAAUGUAACGGGGCUAAACGUACCGCCGAAGCUAUGGAUUGAUGCUUCUUGCAUCAGUGGUAGGGGAGCGUUGUGUACCGGGUUGAAGGCAGACCGGAAGGACUGCUGGACUGUACACAAGUGAGAAUGCCGGUAUGAGUAACGAAAAGACAUGUGAGAAUCAUGUCCGCCGAAAGCCUAAGGGUUCCUGGGGAAGGCUCGUCCGCCCAGGGUAAGUCGGGACCUAAGGCGAGGCCGAAAGGCGUAGUCGAAGGACAACAGGUUGAAAUUCCUGUACCACCGCAGCCGUUAUGAGCAAUGGGGGGACGCAGAAGGAUAGGGACGCGAGCUGAUGGAUGCUCGUCCAAGCAGUGAGGCUGGUCAGUAGGCAAAUCCGCUGACCGUAAGGCUGGGCUGUGACGGGGAGGGAAAAUUACAGUACCGAAGGUCUUGAUUUCAUGCUGCCAAGAAAAGCCUCUAGCCAGGUGAAGGUGCCCGUACCGCAAACCGACACAGGUAGGCGAGAAGAGAAUUCUAAGGCGCGCGGAAGAACUCUCGUUAAGGAACUCGGCAAAAUGACCCCGUAACUUUGGGAGAAGGGGUGCCCCGGUAGGGUGAAUAGCCCGAGGGGGCCGCAGUGAAUAGGCCCGAGCGACUGUUUAGCAAAAACACAGGUCUGUGCGAAGCCGUAAGGCGAAGUAUACGGGCUGACGCCUGCCCGGUGCUGGAAGGUUAAGGGGAGUGGUUAGCUCUUAGAGCGAAGCUAUGAACCGAAGCCCCAGUAAACGGCGGCCGUAACUAUAACGGUCCUAAGGUAGCGAAAUUCCUUGUCAGGUAA